UACGAGUGCCUCAAGCGUUAUCCGGAAUCAUUGGGCGUAAAGGUUGUGUAGGUGGUUUUAUUAGUCUUUUGUUAAAUUCUUCGGCUUAACCGGGGGCAUGCAAAGGAAACGGUAAAACUUGAGGAUGCGAGGGGUCUGUGGAACUCAUAGUGUAGCGGUAAAAUGCGUAGAUAUCGGGAGGAACACCUGAGGCGAAGGCGGGCUACUGGGCCGAUACUGACGCUGAUGUGCGAAAGCCAGGGGAGCGAACGGG
RNAcentral lists this ribosomal RNA (253 nucleotides) under uncultured bacterium. RNAcentral describes it as "partial 16S ribosomal RNA". It matches the Rfam family "Bacterial small subunit ribosomal RNA", at positions 524 to 776 of the family's 1533-position model. The record is from RNAcentral.